AAAGGAAUAGACGGGGGCCCGCACAAGCAGUGGAGUAUGUGGUUUAAUUCGAAGCAACGCGAAGAACCUUACCAAGCCUUGACAUCUCCUGCAUAGCCUAGAGAUAGGUGAAAUCCUUCGGGACAGGAAGACAGGUGGUGCAUGGUUGUCGUCAGCUCGUGUCGUGAGAUGUUGGGUUAAGUCCCGCAACGAGCGCAACCCUUGCAGAUAGUUACUACGAGAAGAGGACUCUAUCAGGACUGCCGUUGACAAAACGGAGGAAGGUGGGGAUGACGUCAAAUCAUCAUGCCCUUUAUGGCUUGGGCUACACACGUACUACAAUGGCCGCAAACAGAGGGGACCGAAGGGGCAACCCGGAGGGAAUCCGAGAAAGGCGGUCUCAGUUCGGAUUAGAGGCUGCAACUCGCCUCUAUGAAGUCGGAAUUGCUAGUAAUCGCGGAUCAGCACGCCGCGGUGAAUACGUUCCCGGGCCUUGUACACACCGCCCGU
Molecule: ribosomal RNA, 489 nt
Filed under: uncultured bacterium
Lineage: Bacteria
Description: bacterial SSU rRNA
Rfam family: Bacterial small subunit ribosomal RNA
Source: RNAcentral